This 255-nucleotide ribosomal RNA is filed under the name uncultured bacterium. RNAcentral describes it as "partial 16S ribosomal RNA". It matches the Rfam family "Archaeal small subunit ribosomal RNA", at positions 474 to 727 of the family's 1478-position model. The record is from RNAcentral.
UACGUAAUCCCCAAGUGGUAUCCAGCAUUAUUUGGCUUAAAGCGUGUGUAGCUGGUUUGUUAAGUCUUUUGUGAAAGCAGCUAGCCUAACUAGUUGAAUUGCAAAAGAUACUGGCAUGACUAGGAACCGGAAGACGUUAAGGGUAUUUUUAGAGUAGGAGUAGAAUCUUAAGAUACUAAAAAGACCACCUGUGGCGAAGGCGCUUAACGAGUACGGAUUCGACAGUGAGAUACGAAAGCUGGGGGCGCAACCCGG